This 153-nucleotide ribosomal RNA is filed under the name Bacillus subtilis. Its description in RNAcentral is "partial 16S ribosomal RNA". It matches the Rfam family "Bacterial small subunit ribosomal RNA", at positions 88 to 234 of the family's 1533-position model. Lineage: Bacteria; Bacillati; Bacillota; Bacilli; Caryophanales; Bacillaceae. The record is from RNAcentral.
GAUGUUAGCGGCGGACGGGUGAGUAACACGUGGGUAACCUGCCUGUAAGACUGGGAUAACUCCGGGAAACCGGGGCUAAUACCGGAUGGUUGUUUGAACCGCAUGGUUCAMACAUAAWAGGUGGCUUCGGCUACCACUUACMGAUGGACCCGC